CUUUCGAUCAAGAUGUAGGCUUCCCAACUCCAGCACCAAGUCUGCCUUCAUGCUACCUUGCUUCCCACCAUGAGAUAAUGGACUAAACCUCUAAACUGUCUCCUCUUCCACAAGUGCCUGGAAGACAUGACCACUGUGAUCUUUUCCAGAACUAUUAUUAAAGGUGUGUUCCUAGAUGUCCACUGUCUGCUGAGAACCAUCACACUGAGCUUCAGGAACAAGAAUGCUCAACUGCCAAGAACUCAACAGACCUGCUACGAUAGGACCCAGCCAGGACAAGCUCAGCAGAGGCCUGAGUCUCAGCAGUUUAUACCCUAAGGCAAUAUCGGGUUCCAAGAAAGGUCACAGUCUGAGACCACCCAGGUACCACCCAGGAACAUAUCAUCCAAAGGAAAUUCCUAACAUUCCAACCAUCUUAGACAGGAUCACCUGCCAGCACACGCCCAUCGCUUUUCACCAGGAUGUCCAUAGACAAAUGUCAGCCAAUCAGGGGUCCUGAAUCUUAGAAAUCCCUCACCUCAACCUUUGCUAUUAUAAAAACCCAACCCCAACUGAGAGCCCAGGGCUCUCCAAUCACGCCAAUGUGUUGGGCACUUGGAGAGUCUGAGUUUGAACUUGAAUAAGAAUAAAGGCUCUUUGCUUUUACAUACAGAACUCAGUCUCCUAGUUGGCUUUUGGGGGACUCCAUGAUCUGGGCAUAAUAGUCACCAAUCCCCAUUCUAGUCAGUCUGGCUUAGGAAGCCCAACAGUUCUGGACAUGACAACUUUUCUUUCUCCUUGCAUACUCCUUGCCUUCUCAAACACACUCUUUCUAACACAGAUGUUAAGAAAAUUAAAACCUCAGAUAAACGUCUUGUGCUAGUCGGUUUUCCGUAGAGAAUCAGCUGGGAGGAGCAAGCUUUGCUUGGCCUCUGUUUUCAGAGGUUUCAGGGCAUAGUCAAUUAACCUGACUACACUUUGACUCUGGACAGGUGGUAAAUUACAUCACAGUAGGGAGUGAAGCUGCUCAUCUCAUUCAUGGUGGCCAGGAAGCAAAGACAAAAAGACAAAAAGAAUGGGCUCAAAAUAUACCUUUUAAUGGCACACUCCUAAUAACCAAUACACCACAACUAGGCUCCACCCCCCUAAAGUUUCUACUGCCUCCAACGUGUCCAUUAAAUUACAGAGCAAUAAGAGAGUUAAUCCAAGUAAGAGGUCAGAACCCUCACAUUACAAUCACCUAACCAAAACUCCUGUGACUCCCAGAAGAUCAGUAGAAAAAAAAAGAAAAGUAGACAACUUUCAUAGAGUCGAUUCGAGGCCUCCUGGCAGUCUGGAGGCAAAGGGGUAAGGAAGACAGCCACAAAGCCAAGCAGAGGAUGGGCUAAA
Molecule: long non-coding RNA, 1368 nt
Organism: Myodes glareolus (Bank vole)
Lineage: Eukaryota; Metazoa; Chordata; Mammalia; Rodentia; Cricetidae
Source: RefSeq, a predicted model, not a curated record